GGACAAGGGAUACAGUUUCUUUUCGAGAACUUCAUCUACGACUACGAAGAUUGUUUUCCAAGCUGAUGCAGCCGAACUUCAAGAAACCUCAUGCAGCUGUACAGCAGGCAAGGUUCUGUGCAACCAUCUAGUGGCCUUGUUGUUCCAGAGUGCCCAUUACAGCAUGUUGCAGGUGAGAGCUGUACCACCACCUGUGGCCUGCACAAGCUCUCUGCAAACAUGGCAUCGAACGGGAC
Long non-coding RNA from Perca fluviatilis (European perch), 236 nucleotides. RefSeq lists it as uncharacterized. The record is from RefSeq and is a predicted model, not a curated record. The transcript is spliced from 3 exons. NCBI's taxonomy places the organism in Eukaryota, Metazoa, Chordata, Actinopteri, Perciformes, Percidae.